GACGAACGCUGGCGGCGUGCUUAACACAUGCAAGUCGAACGGAAAGGCCCUGCUUUUGUGGGGUGCUCGAGUGGCGAACGGGUGAGUAACACGUGAGUAACCUGCCCUUGACUUUGGGAUAACUUCAGGAAACUGGGGCUAAUACCGGAUAGGAGCUCCUGCUGCAUGGUGGGGGUUGGAAAGUUUCGGCGGUUGGGGAUGGACUCGCGGCUUAUCAGCUUGUUGGUGGGGUAGUGGCUUACCAAGGCUUUGACGGGUAGCCGGCCUGAGAGGGUGACCGGCCACAUUGGGACUGAGGUACGGCCCAGACUCCAACGGGAGGCAGCAGUGGGGAAUAUUGCACAAUGGGCGGAAGCCUGAUGCAGCAACGCCGCGUGCGGGAUGACGGCCUUCGGGUUGUAAACCACUUUCGCCUGAGACGAAGCGUGAGUGACGGUAAUGGGUAAAGAAGCACCGGCUAACUACGUG
Molecule: ribosomal RNA, 468 nt
Filed under: uncultured bacterium
Lineage: Bacteria
Description: partial 16S ribosomal RNA
Rfam family: Bacterial small subunit ribosomal RNA
Source: RNAcentral